Potamilus streckersoni is the source of this 69-nucleotide non-coding RNA. Lineage: Eukaryota; Metazoa; Mollusca; Bivalvia; Unionida; Unionidae. The record is from the annotation of a GenBank genome assembly.
UCUCCCGUGGCCAAGUGGUUAGAGCGCCCGCCUCAGAUGCGGGAGGUCACGGGUUCAAACCCGGAAGAG